AUUAGAGGGUGUCCCCUAUUGAUCGAAAGAUGUAGAAAAAAUGAUGGUGUGGAUUGGCCUAAUAUUGCAGGCAUCUCAAAUAUUGAAACUGAUUGGUGAGGAAUUCAGUGGGAACGCUAUUGUACUGCAGAGAACAGAGAGAGAAAAAUUAUGAAGACAAAGUGAGACCUUAUAUAUUGCAAAUCACGUGGGCACUAUUCUUCAACAAGCAAUAAAGAAAUAAUGAUGUUUAAUUCAUUAGAGACUUGCUCUUUUGACUUGCAAGGAUUGGAUGAUGAUUAACCUACAGUUCACAAUUCCCUAAAAUUUUGAAAAUUUGAAAAUCGCAAUGAUACAAAGAAUGUACUCAAGGGCAUCGUUAAAAGAGAUAAGAGCACAAUUCACAAAGGCAAAACAAGAUUUCAUGAGCUUGAAUCACUGCUGAUAUUAUUACUUUUAAAGAUAUUCAUUAAAUAGCAACAACUUCAAUGUAUGAAGUCGUCAUUUUGUUGGCCCUAGAACAAGGCACAGAACAUUUCACUUUCCUUAUGAUGCUAGCGACUCUAUGGGACCAAGUCUGUCAAGUUAUAAAGGUGAAUUGCAAAGGAUGCUUUCCACAAAUAAUAAGCUAGGAGAGCUAACCGGAAGGGUGCUGAUAUCCCAAGCAUCUUCAGAUCUUCCGACAAAUCUGUCAGUUUCUACAAGAUUGCCUUGCAAUUGCUGCCUUCAGUGUGUGAUUGUGGAUUAAUGUUCUCCCUAAUUCCUAAAGCACCUCUAUAUAUAAAUUAUCCUAAUAUGUAAGAUGAUGGAAGAAGAGGGAUGAUGAUGAUAAAACAAUCAGACUGAUAAUAAGGCUUUCCCAAUGUCCUUCCCUUCCUAUAAUCAAAGAGCCAAUAUCUAUUGGAUGACAAGCAACCGUGCACUGCUACCACAAGUUGGUAACCUCAUAGUUCAUCUUGAAAAAAAAACAGUAAUAAUUUAAGUCAUGAAAAUGUAAUGGAGGACUUUUAGAUACUGAACCAUCUGGACAGCUUUCUUUUGUAGCAAAGAGAAAUGCAUCAAGUUGUGUUUGAUUAAGACUGCAUUUAAUGUUGAGCAAGCUUCAGGGAUCGUACCCGAUGGUGGUGGUACACUUUCUAAGUCAAUACUAGCUCAGCUCAUUCCAAAAUAAAGCUUUGUUUGAACCAAAAGGCCAAGAGAAAGUAGAAAUAAAGGCUGGCCAAAGAAGCUUACAUGCCAAUUAACGUGUUGGUUUCUUUUACAGAUGUGAAAAUAAUAUGUGAAAGUCAAAAGCAAUGUUGGUUUAAGCUGUUUCAUACCAGAAUUGUUUUGCUAUAACAAUUAUGCAACAGCUCUCAUGAAAGGUUUUGACUUUUGAGCGACAACUUAGACGAGCAUGGAUGUUGUGCAUAUUCUUGUCUCCACGAUAUACUGGAAUAGAGCUAAGCUCGAACCCUGGAAGUGAACCAUGAAAAGGGUGAAAGUGAUUUUUGGGUGUGUGACAGGAUGCAUAUGAGACAUAGGACUUUGGUUUCAAUGUCAAAAACUAUAUAUGUUGUACUAUCUAAUUCUUUCAUGGUUGGCGAAGAGCUAACUUCACUUCCUGAAAAAACAUGCAAAGGUUGGCAGUUGGUUCUGGGGUUUGUAAGAGGGUUCACAUGGGAUUUGGGAUUCAAUCUCAAAUUUUAUUCUUGUACUUUUAUGCCCUUAUAGUGAAGAAAGAAUUUAUCCUAUCCGUGGACGUAGGCAAAAUUUUGCCGAACCACGUAAAUUCUUGUGUGCUAUUCUUAUUUGAUUACUUUUCCCCUUCACUAUAGUGAAUCAUGUUGAAAUAAUCACUGUAAUUAUGCCUUAGAUUAGAAAUCACUUUGUAAUUACGAAUAUUUGUUAUAUGCCUAAG
Molecule: unclassified non-coding RNA, 1879 nt
Filed under: Hevea brasiliensis (rubber tree)
Lineage: Eukaryota; Viridiplantae; Streptophyta; Magnoliopsida; Malpighiales; Euphorbiaceae
Source: RNAcentral